UGAACGCUGGCGGCGUGCUUAACACAUGCAAGUCGAACGGAAAGGCUCCUGCUUGCAGGGGUACUCGAGUGGCGAACGGGUGAGUAACACGUGGGUGAUCUGCCCUGCACUUCGGGAUAAGCCUGGGAAACUGGGUCUAAUACCGGAUAGGACCACAUUUUGGAUGGUGUGGUGGAAAGUUUUUCGGUGUGGGAUGAGCUCGCGGCCUAUCAGCUUGUUGGUGGGGUAAUGGCCUACCAAGGCGUCGACGGGUAGCCGGCCUGAGAGGGUGUACGGCCACAUUGGGACUGAGAUACGGCCCAGACUCCUACGGGAGGCAGCAGUGGGGAAUAUUGCACAAUGGGCGCAAGCCUGAUGCAGCGACGCCGCGUGGGGGAUGACGGCCUUCGGGUUGUAAACUCCUUUCGCUAGGGACGAAGCGCAAGUGACGGUACCUGGAGAAGAAGCACCGGCUAACUACGUG
RNAcentral lists this ribosomal RNA (463 nucleotides) under uncultured bacterium. RNAcentral describes it as "partial 16S ribosomal RNA". It matches the Rfam family "Bacterial small subunit ribosomal RNA", at positions 30 to 507 of the family's 1533-position model. The record is from RNAcentral.